Molecule: long non-coding RNA, 750 nt
Organism: Anguilla rostrata (American eel)
Lineage: Eukaryota; Metazoa; Chordata; Actinopteri; Anguilliformes; Anguillidae
Exons: 3
Source: RefSeq, a predicted model, not a curated record
GACCCUCUCACAGGUGCGCAUUUUGUCCGUCCCUCUAAAAGCAUUAAUGGCAGGGUCUCGCGACUCUUCAGAAUGUCCCGUUAGGGGUCUGAUCAUCUCUCUCCACAGUUCUGGGAGUUCAUGGGGACGACACAGGGUAAAGAAACAGCCAAUGCGAUGCCCCAGUCUUCCUGUAGAUGCCCUGUCUGCAUCAGUGCUUGUAUCAGGAAGCAUUGCGGUGGCUGCUGGUCCAUCAUCAGUGGUCUUAGUGGAUUGUGGCCAAGACCCUGCUGGCCCUCCCCCACCUCCGUUGUUGCCAGGGAAACGUCAUUCACGUGUCCAGCCUGGUGGCCUCCAUUGGCCAGAAGCACGCUGCUCCGUACGUCGCCACCAAGGGAUUGGACGAUGAAGACACAGGAAAACCCAAGGCAGAGAAGAAGGAAAAGAAGAAGAAAUGGCAAUGGAAGAGAGGCAAGGAUAGGAAAGCCAAAAAUGUAUUUGGAGAGGAGUCAGCCAUUGUCACCACCUGCUCAGAUCAUCCAGCUCAGCACAUCAACAGUACUGAGCCACUGGCCCUUAUAACCGAUUGCACAGAGCAGCCAGGCCUCAGAGCCAACGGCGAAGAACAGCCAGGUCUGACAACCAGCUGCAUCGAGCUGUUGCCCCUGACAACCAGCGGUGAAGAACAGCCGGGUCUGAAAACCAGCUGCAUUGAGCUGUUGAACCUGACAACGAACUGCGCAGAACAGCCGACCCUCAGCGACUGCGCAG